RNAcentral lists this unclassified non-coding RNA (336 nucleotides) under soil metagenome. RNAcentral's name for it is "partial contains 5.8S ribosomal RNA, internal transcribed spacer 2, and large subunit ribosomal RNA". The stretch from base 1 to 120 matches the Rfam family "5.8S ribosomal RNA", at positions 35 to 154 of the family's 154-position model. The record is from RNAcentral.
GAUGAAGAACGUAGUGAAAUGCGAUAAGUAAUGUGAAUUGCAGAAUUCAGUGAAUCAUCGAAUCUUUGAACGCACAUUGCGCCCGCCAGUAUUCUGGCGGGCAUGCCUGUUCGAGCGUCAUUUCAACCAUCAAGCCCCCGGCUUGUGCUGGGGACCUGCGGCUGCCGCAGGCCCUGAAAAGCAGUGGCGGGCUCGCUGUCACACCGAGCGUAGUAGCAUACAUCUCGCUCUGGGCGUGCUGCGGGUUCCGGCCGUUAAACCACCUUCAUAACCCAAGGUUGACCUCGGAUCAGGUAGGAAGACCCGCUGAACUUAAGCAUAUCAAUAAGCGGAGGA